This 1318-nucleotide ribosomal RNA is filed under the name metagenome. RNAcentral describes it as "bacterial LSU rRNA". It matches the Rfam family "Bacterial large subunit ribosomal RNA", at positions 1592 to 2925 of the family's 2925-position model. The record is from RNAcentral.
AGUGUACGUCAGACUUCCAAGAAAAGCUCGCAAUGUCAUAAAUAAAAAGUGCCUGUACCAUAACCGACACAGGUGGGUAGGUAGAGUAUACUAAGGGGCGCGAGAUAACUCUCUCUAAGGAACUCGGCAAAAUGACUCCGUAACUUCGGGAGAAGGAGUGCCUUAUUUAUAAGGUUGCAAUAACAAGAUCCAAGCAACUGUUUUAUCAAAAACACAGGUCUCCGCUAAGUCGUAAGACGAUGUAUGGGGGCUGACGCCUGCCCAGUGCCAGAAGGUUAAAGAAGUUGGUUAGUGUAUGCGAAGCUGAUGACUGAAGCCCUGGUGAACGGCGGCCGUAACGAUAACGGUCCUAAGGUAGCGAAAUUCCUUGUCGGGUAAGUUCCGACCCGCACGAAAGGCGUAAUGAUUUGGAUACUGUCUCGGAGAGAGGCUCGGUGAAAUAGACUUGUCUGUGAAGAUGCGGACUACCUGCACCAGGACAGAAAGACCCUAUGAAGCUUUACUGUAACUUGAAAUUGGAAUUGGACUUUGCUUGCGCAGUAUAGGUGGGAAGCGUUGAAGAUAUUCUUGCGGGAGUAUUGGAGCUAUCAGUGAGAUACCACUCUUGUAAUGUUAGAUUUCUAACUUUGAACCAUAAUCUGGUCAAAGAACAGUUUCAGGUGGGCAGUUUGACUGGGGCGGUCGCCUCCCAAAUGGUAACGGAGGCGUGCAAAGGUUUCCUCUGAACGGAUAGAAAUCGUAUCUAGAGUGUAAAGGCAUAAGGAAGCUUGACUGUGAGACCUACAAGUCGAGCAGGGACGAAAGUCGGUCUUAGUGAUCUGACGGUACUGAGUGGAAAGGCCGUCACUCAACGGAUAAAAGUUACUCUAGGAUAACAGGCUGAUCUCCCCCAAGAGUUCACAUCGACGGGGAGGUUUGGCACCUCGAUGUCGGCUCAUCGCAUCCUGGGGCGGUAGUACGUCCCAAGGGUUGGGCUGUUCGCCCAUGAAAGCGGUACGCGAGCUGGGUUCAGAACGUCGUGAGACAGUUCGGUCCAUAUCCGGUGUAGGCGUUAGAAUAUUGAGAGGAGCCUUCUUUAGUACGAGAGGACCGAGAAGGACACACCGCUGGUGUACCAGUUAUCGUGCCAACGGUAAACGCUGGGUAGCUAUGUGUGGAGUGGAUAACCGCUGAAAGCAUCUAAGUGGGAAGCCCACCUCAAGAUGAGUAUUCUCAUCACUAUAAGUGAGUAAGGUCACGGUAAGACUAACCGUUUGAUAGGCAUUAAGUGUAAAUGUAGUAAUGCAUGUGCUGAGAUGUCCUAACAGACCGAGGACUU